Molecule: long non-coding RNA, 1834 nt
Organism: Tripterygium wilfordii
Lineage: Eukaryota; Viridiplantae; Streptophyta; Magnoliopsida; Celastrales; Celastraceae
Exons: 2
Source: RefSeq, a predicted model, not a curated record
AAACACUGGUAGAAAUCCUUCGCCUUCGCAUCAAAAACUGUAAACCUAGCCACGCGAAUGAAGUAACCAUGCUGAGUUUCAUCACCCCCCCCCAAACUAAGGAGGGUUGAGAAACCAUGCUGAGUUUGCGGAUUAAGUGCUAAAUGCGAUUGAUCGAUAGAGGCUUCGUAAGGAGAUCACCAGGUUGCUUAGAGAAGCCAUGGCUCUAUGUUCCGUUUCUACUGAUGACCGUGAAACAAUCUUAUGUUUCUUGGAUUUCCAGGAGACCAAGGCUUCACCUAUGGUGAUGCAAUACCCUGUGACUGACCUACGACUAUCCAGGUAGGUAGCCCAGUCUGAAUCACAGUAACCUCUGACCUAUAGAUUGUUAGUGAUAGAAUAAAACAUGAUAUGCCCUAGAGUACCUUUUAUGUAUCUUAGUAUAUGAUGAGCAGCAUCCAUAUGUGUUUCAGUAUGAUGAUGCAUAAAUUGACUUAAAGUAUUGAUAGCAAAUGUUAUAUUAGGUCUUCUUAUGGUUAAAUACAUUAGACUACCUACUAAACUUCUGUAUCUUAGAGGAUCUUCAAGAGCAGUGCCUUGAUUAGUAGAUAAUUUAGCAUUAGUAUCAAUAGGGGAAUUAAUAGGUUUAGAAUCAGUGAAACCAGUGUCCUGGAGUAAAUCAACAACAUAUUUUUAUUGUCCAACUGUGAGGUCAUUGUUCUGGUAAUGCAGUUCUAUUCCUGAAAAAUAUUUUAGUGAACCUAAACAACUGCCUUACUUUGGAUAAAACCAAAGUCUAAUAAGCUUUCUUACAUUUGAUAAAACCAAAGUCUAAUAAGCUUUCUUACAUUUGACAUUCCAUUAUCUUGAAGCCUAUUUCAGUCCAUAUAUGGACCUUUUAUGUUUGCAAACUUCCCUGUUUUCUUGUUUGGGAAAUUCUGGAGGAAGUCUCAUAUAUAUGUCUUCCUCCAACUCACCAUUCAAAAAAGCAUUGUGCACAUCUAGGUGAUAUAUAGGCCAUUUGUUGAAUGUAGCUAAUGCCAAAAAAUUCUAACAGUGGUAAUUUUCACCACUGGAGCAAAUGUUUCAUUAUAGUCAAAGCCCUCACUUUGACUGUAAUCUUGAGCUACCAAUUUUGCUUUAUAUAUUUUUAUUGCACAAUUAGAUUGAUAUUUGAUUUUAUAUAUCCAUUUGCAUCCUAUGGGUUUUCUAUUAAGAGGUAAGGUCACUAACUCCCAUGUGUUGUUAUCUUUAAGAGCUUUUAAUUCUGCAUCCAUAGCUUGAACCCAAUUACUGUUCUGUAUGGCAUCUUUGUAUUUAGUGGGUUCCUUUUGUUUCAUUAUGGCAUAGAUGUAAUGUCGAUGGGAACCAGUGGGUAACUGUUUAGCUAUGGGAGGAACAUCAGCAGAAGCUAAGUUGCAAUCAUAAUUAUCAAGGUUUACCUACAACGUUGUAGGUAAAUCAUGGCUUGAUGUAGAAGGUAAAUCCUUGUUUAUGUGAUGUGGAGAAGUGUCUGACAUUUUAUAUGUUGGAUUUGAAAGGAAAUUCUGAUUCCUUGAAGUGCACAUCUCUAGAAAUGAAAACUUCUUGAGUUUCAAUAUUUAGGAGUCUGUAUCCUUUAGUACCUUAGGCAGAAAUUUAGAACUAGGAUGUCUAUUGGCUAUGCAAAGGCAACCAAAGGUUCUAAGGUUACUGUAAUCAAUUUCUUUGUUAUAGAGUAUCUGAAGAGGGGACAUUUUGUCUAAGACUGUAGUUGGGAGUCUAUUAAUCAGAUAUACUGUUGUUUGAAUGCAAUAAGACCAUAAUUCUUCUCCUAAACCAGCUUGAAUUUUAAGUGUUCUAGCUACAUUCAGUA